AGUGAACGCUGGCGGUAGGCCUAACACAUGCAAGUCGAACGGCAGCACAGUAAGAGCUUGCUCUUACGGGUGGCGAGUGGCGGACGGGUGAGGAAUACAUCGGAAUCUACUUUUUCGUGGGGGAUAACGUAGGGAAACUUACGCUAAUACCGCAUACGACCUACGGGUGAAAGCAGGGGAUCUUCGGACCUUGCGCGAUUGAAUGAGCCGAUGUCGGAUUAGCUAGUUGGCGGGGUAAAGGCCCACCAAGGCGACGAUCCGUAGCUGGUCUGAGAGGAUGCUCAGCCAAACUGGAACUGGGACACGGUCCAGAAUACUACGGGAGGCAGAAGUCGGGAAUAUUGGAGAAUGGGCGCAAGCCUGAACCAGCCAUACCGCGUGAGUGAAGAAGGCCUCAGGGUUGUAAAGCCCUUUUGUUGGGAAAGAAAAGCAGCAGGUUAAUACCCCGCUGUUCUGACGGUACCCAAAGAAUAAGCACCGGCUAACUUCGUG
RNAcentral lists this ribosomal RNA (492 nucleotides) under uncultured bacterium. Its description in RNAcentral is "partial 16S ribosomal RNA". It matches the Rfam family "Bacterial small subunit ribosomal RNA", at positions 29 to 507 of the family's 1533-position model. The record is from RNAcentral.